CGCUUGCACAUCUGUAAUCCCAGUACUGUAGGAGGCUGAAGCAGGAGGAUUGCAAGCUGAAUCUCAGCCUGGACAAUUUAGUGACUCAGUGAAAGCUUAUCUCAAAUGUAAAAUAAAAAAAGGACUGGGGAUGUGGAUCAUAUAGAAAAUGAACAAAGGAAGGCUAUUGGGCAAGAUCUUGGAAAUAUGUCAUGUGAAGAACAAAUGAAUGAAUGAAUGAAGUAUAUUAUACCUGAAACAUUGAUCUAUGAUGAUUUUCAUAUUUUUAAAAAGAUGAAAAAAAGAAGCUUGAACUAGACCAGUAGAAAUUACUCAGCCUAUUGACUUCAAACCUACUGGAGGCCGUCUUAUAAUCAGAAGAUUUUGUGGGAGACGUUUCUCUUCUCCAUCUACAAAGAGGUUGUGGUGACACACUAUCUGAUGUUCAACCCUUAUGAUGUCAAAAUAAUAUCAGGAGCACAGUGUAAGAGCUACAGAAUGUAUUUCAGUAGUCACAGAAAGAGACAGUGUUGAAAGAAGUGAGUAGUCUCAAUUUUCUCAUUGCUGGGACAAAAUACAUGAUACCCAAGGUUAAAGGAGGAAAGGUGUGUUUGGCUCACAGUUGUAGAGGUUCAGUCAAUUGUUAGCUGGAUCCAAGGCAGGGUGACAUGGCAGAGGAACAUCACAGGGGUGAAACAUU
Molecule: long non-coding RNA, 679 nt
Filed under: Cavia porcellus (domestic guinea pig)
Lineage: Eukaryota; Metazoa; Chordata; Mammalia; Rodentia; Caviidae
Description: lncRNA (ENSCPOG00000040221.1)
Source: RNAcentral